UCUCAACUGUGUGGAUCUCAUGUGAAUUGGAACAAUAAACUUGGAUCCUUGCUUCUUCUCACUCACUGGUUCGGUGUUUUGCUUUCUUCAUGCAACAGUCUGGUAGAUGUGAGUAUCUGUUUCUAUGCUGUAUUUUAAUUAUAAUUACAUUCAGGUAAUGGAUCAAAUUUGACACAACAGUGUGUGAGAUUGAAUUAAGUUGUGUGUGAUUAGAAUGAGUGUGAGUGUUCUGUGUGUGAGAGAGAGUGUUCUGGGAAUUGCAGUCCAUGGUGGCCAUGUUUGUAGGCUGCCGUGCAGUUUGGGAAAUGUAGUCACUGGUUUGCUGUGACAUGACACACUCGUUAAAUAUUUAUAUUCCAUAUUGUAGCAUUUGGUUAAAAACAGCUUUUCAAGCUAAGGCCUUGAAAGACAUCAGACCACAGAAUGUGGGCCAGCUCAGAAAAAUGCUUGGGUUACUCACCUACUACAGGCAGUAGAUUAAAGACUUUUCCAGAAAGGCAAGCUGCCAGCACAAUCUCUUGAAAGCAGAUUCAACUGAGGUCCCUGAAAACACAAGAAAACCAAAAGCAAAGAAAAUGACUCAUGUUGUGCCCUCAGACAAGCCAAUCACUUGGACCGACCAGCACCAGCAGGCACUUGAACAGCUGAUUGACUGUUUGCUCCAUCCACCAGUGUUAGGGUUCCCUGAUUUCACUCAGCCGUUCAUAGUACACACUGACGCAUCACAUCAAGGCUUGCGAGCAGUAUUGUAUCCAAAACAAGAUGGCAAACUGAGAGUCAUUGCCUAUGGCUCCCACUCAUUGAGAGCAAGCGGAGAAGAACUACCACUACCAUGCAGGUUUGUUGCAGAUCUGGCUGAUUUUCACUUCACAAUAAAGUACAGACCAGGUAAAGAGAUCAGUGACGCAGAUGCUUUGUCAAGGAUGCCACUGGAUGCAGAGUCACUGAUGAGAGAAUGUUCUGAGGAGUUGCCACCUGACGCCAUAGCUACCACCAUUCAGGCCGUUGAGGUUCAAGAAGCGACCCUGGCAUUUCCAGCCAAAUGUAUGACAGUCUCCACUGAAGGUGAGAUAACCACUCCAUCAGUCAGUCCUAUACCAAAAGAUAAGUUAAGAGAUGCACAAAGAUCGGACACAUGCAUCUGUCCUGUGCUAGAUAGUAAACUGUCAGGCUCCAAACCUCUAGCUAGAGAGCUAAAGUCAUUCAGCUGAAAGACAGAAUGCCUGUUCAGAGAAUGGGAAAAGCUGACAGUAGACAGUGAUGGCAUUCUGUACAGGAAAACCAAAGCCCACAAACAGUUUGCCCUACCAGAACAGUACAAAGGAAAAGUACUGGAAGAGCUGCACAAUAACAUGGGACACCAAGGUGCCGACCGCACAGUAUCUCUAGUACGUGAACGCUCCUUCUGGCCCAAUAUGCAAUCUGACAUUGAGCACUAUGUGACAAAAGCUUGCAUCUGUCUCAAGCAGAAAAAGCCAUGCCAUGAAAUGAGAGCUCCCUUGACAAAUAUUGUGACAACACAACCAUUUGAACUCGUAUGUAUUGAUUUCCUCCAUCUCGACCCAUGCAAAGGUGGAUACAAAACAUCCUUGUCAUUGUUGACCAUUUCACCCGUUGUGAUCAAGCAUAUGCCACCGUGUCAAAGUCGGGGAAAACUGCUGCAAACCUCAUUUUCAAUGACUUUGCUCUCAAGAUUGGGUUUCCCUCCCCCAUUCAUCAUGACCACGAGGGAGAGUUUGAAUAUCAAUUGUUCACUUAAAGAAACUCAGUGGCAUGGCCGGGUCCAGAACAACACCAUAUCACCCGAUGGGGAAUGGCCAAGUGGAGCGGAUGAACAGAACAUUGUUGCAAAUGCUUAAGACGCUGACUGAAACACAGAAAUUGAACUGGAAAGAGUCUCUGGACAAACUGGUGUAUGCCUAUAACUGUACCCGUUGUGAAGUGACAGGUUACUCACCAUUUUAUCUGCUGUUUGGUAGAUCACCUAGGCUUACAGUUGACAUGCUGUUCGGACUGUACACAGAGUCAGGAUCCAGUCAACCAGACUAUGUGGAGAAAUGGAAACAGGGUAUGGAGGAAGCAUACGCUUUUGCAAAUGAGAAUGCUCAGAAAGCUGCUGAGAGGAGUAAAAGGUAUUAUGAUACCAAAGUGAGGAGUUCGGUGCUACAGCCUGGUGAGCAGGUCCUGAUUAAAAACCUGACACCAAGAGGAGGACCAGGUAAACUCCGUGACUACUGGGAAAAUACAAUUCACACAUUGGUGAGACAAACGGGAUCUGAUUUGCCGAUCUAUGAAGUGAGACCAGAAAAGGAUAAGGGAAGUUCCAGGGUCCUGCAUAGAAACCUGCUCAUGUCCUGUGAUCACUUCUUUUUGAGACACAGCCUGAAGUAACUAAAAAUGACAGAAGUAAACAGAAAAGAAGGCACACGCAUGUUGCACAGCCAGAAGACUCAGAUGAAGACAGUGGAGAUGAAUAUGACCUUCAUUAUGAGCCAAUUCAUGUCCUGACACCACCAACAGUAACUACUGAGAGACAUGUUAAGCAAGAGAGACAUCCUGAACAUGAGCCUGAACCAGUAGAACAGAGUGUUGAACUAGCAGUCCCUGUUGCCAUGCCAACCCAGCCUCUCAUUGGAGAUCAGCCGGAAGAGCUCAUCACAACUGAAAACGUGCCGGAUGAGGAGAUGAACGUACCUGCUGAGAAUCUGCCUGAUUCACCAGAUGCCACUCUUGCAUCAGGUGCUGCUGAACCUGAGGAGCCGACCUACCAGCUACCACAGAGAGAGAGACAUCCGCCAAGGCGCAUCACCUACGAUCAGCUGGGUACUCCGCCCUGCUAUAGUAUCCAGCCACAGCCGCAGUUGUUGCCUUUCUACCCUGCAUCGGGACUGGUCCCAUGGUUGCCAUCCUUGCAGCCAUACUACUUUCAGCCACCCUGUAUGUAUGGACUCCAGAAAACGUGAGUUUACAGACGUGACAUACUGAAAUAGAACCAUGAACUACUAAUGGACUGUUUUCAUAGACUGUUUUCAUGGGCUGUUGAAAUGAACUUUGAAUUUGCAGACUGCACAGAUCUUUGAAACCGAUGGACUGUUGAUCAAGAGUAUGUGCAAAGACUCUUAUUGGACUGUUUAUACAGUAGCCAGUCAACAGAUUUGACUGUGAAUAUGGACUGACAUAUUUGAACUGUGACCUUUGACCUAAGUACCACCUUACAGAAGAGGAUUUCCAGUGUCAAGUUCUUGAGAGACUGUUUAAAGGACAAUUGUUUGAUUGAUUUAAUGUCGAGACGACAUUUAUUUUGUAGAUAAGAGUGUAACAAGUUAAAUAGUUAAAUGUUAAAAAGAGAGUUAAGAGUAUUUAUUUUUCGCUGUUGUUCUAUUUUGAUGUGUUGAUGCAUUGAUUCAAGCAAGUAUAACGCUGAUCAGUCAUCCAUUAGGAUCCAUUACUUUAGUCUCUGCCCACAUACCUGGAGGAAAAUGCGUUUUUUUUUUUCCAUUCGAGUAAAGCUCUUGUGGAAGUAACACCGACCGUCAUGCUUGUGACUUAUUUCUCCUCUAUAUAGGUAUGUUGUGCACGUUUUACUCAAAUGUUUUAUCUGUGUUAACUUGCUGACAUUUUGAGAUGUGCUUGUAUCUUGUUUCUGAUGGUUUUUGAGUAGGUGUGAGUAAGUUUUGUCGUGUGUGCGUGUGUGCGCGCGCACGUGCGAGUCUCGGCCUCGUGUUUGAGGUCAGAGUGGCGCUAGAUUGUGCUUAGCCAUGGUUUGAAUAUGUGGAUAUGAAAGGUGUAUUUUUAUGUGUACUUUUAUUUAAUUAAUGUUUAAUGCACUUUAAGUUUACUGUUUUGUAUAAAUGAUUGGUAUGUGUAUAUUGUUGUAUUUUUGUAAUUCAUUCGAGUAAAGUUCUCAUGGAAGUAACACCGACGGUCAUGCUUGUGACUUAUUUCUCUUCUACAUAGAUAGGGGAACAACACAUCAAUCUUCUCUUCCACCCCAAACAAACAAAGUCUUCUGAAUAAAACCCUAAUAAGUCCACAUUUUUGCCCGCAUCUAUUACGGAAUAUUUUAAUCAAUCAAAGUAUAAUUCACUCAUGUAUAAUCAAAGUAUAAGCUCUGAAAGAGUACCAACAAGUUAUAAGGAAUAAAUGAGUUAAUCCACUAAAACCUAUGUUUAAAGAGUAUAACCAAAUAUCAAUCAGUAUACUGGUACCUGUUUGUGCUGGG
Long non-coding RNA from Ictalurus punctatus (channel catfish), 4222 nucleotides. NCBI's taxonomy places the organism in Eukaryota, Metazoa, Chordata, Actinopteri, Siluriformes, Ictaluridae. The record is from Ensembl.